Non-coding RNA from Brachypodium distachyon (stiff brome), 124 nucleotides. NCBI's taxonomy places the organism in Eukaryota, Viridiplantae, Streptophyta, Magnoliopsida, Poales, Poaceae. The record is from Rfam.
UUACUACUCCCUCCGUGCCAUAUUAAGUGACUUUCUAUUAAAUGUAUCUAGACGCUUUUUAAACAUAUAUACAUCCAUAUUUGGCAAUUUUGAGUCACUUAAUAUGGGACGGAGGGAGUACGAA